RNAcentral lists this ribosomal RNA (253 nucleotides) under uncultured bacterium. Its description in RNAcentral is "partial 16S ribosomal RNA". It matches the Rfam family "Bacterial small subunit ribosomal RNA", at positions 524 to 776 of the family's 1533-position model. The record is from RNAcentral.
UACAGAGGGGGCAAGCGUUGUUCGGAAUUACUGGGCGUAAAGGGCGCGUAGGCGGCCUUCUAAGUCGAACGUGAAAUCCCCGGGCUCAACCCGGGAACUGCGUCCGAUACUGGAAGGCUUGAAUCCGGGAGAGGGAUGUGGAAUUCCAGGUGUAGCGGUGAAAUGCGUAGAUAUCUGGAGGAACACCGGUGGCGGAGGCGACAUCCUGGACCGGUAUUGACGCUGAGGCGCGAAAGCCAGGGGAGUAAACGGG